Molecule: ribosomal RNA, 477 nt
Filed under: uncultured eukaryote
Lineage: Eukaryota
Description: partial 18S ribosomal RNA
Rfam family: Eukaryotic small subunit ribosomal RNA
Source: RNAcentral
CAAUAGCGUAUAUUAAAGUUGUUGCAGUUAAAAAGCUCGUAGUUGGAUUUCGGGGCCCCGGACGCUCGUUGCGUUGUCUGCUGGACUUGUCCUGUGGGCGCGUGGCGGUCGUCGGUCUCUGAGUCGGAUCGGUCCGCCGAGAGGCGUGCACUGACCGACGGCCCCUGUUGUCUCUCGGGUUGCCCGCCUGCACUUAACUGUUGCGGACGGGGAGUUCGGGACGUUUACUUUGAACAAAUUAGAGGGUUCCAAGCAGGCCGUUUGCUUUGAAUACAUUAGCAUGGAAUAAUGGAAUAGGGCUGCGUGGCCUGUCGUCUGACGGCGGGUCCUCGUGUCCUAUUUUGUUGGUUUUCGGGACCGCAGUCAUGGUCAAGAGGGACAGUUGGGGGCAUUCGUAUUCAGUUGUCAGAGGUGAAAUUCUUGGAUUUACGGAAGACGAACAACUGCGAAAGCAUUUGCCAAGGAUGUUUUCAUUAA